Homo sapiens (human) is the source of this 148-nucleotide non-coding RNA. It matches the Rfam family "Metazoan signal recognition particle RNA". From Rfam's summary of the family: The signal recognition particle (SRP) is a universally conserved ribonucleoprotein. It is involved in the co-translational targeting of proteins to membranes. NCBI's taxonomy places the organism in Eukaryota, Metazoa, Chordata, Mammalia, Primates, Hominidae. The record is from Rfam.
GCUGGGUGUGGUGGUGCACACCUGUAGUCCCAGCUACUCUGGAGGCUGAGGCAGGAGAAUCACUUGAACCUGGGAGGUGGAGGUUGCAGUGAGCCGAGAUCAUACCACUGCACUCCAGCCUAGGUGACAGAGUGAGACUCUGUCUCAA